RNAcentral lists this ribosomal RNA (539 nucleotides) under Shigella flexneri. Its description in RNAcentral is "bacterial SSU rRNA". It matches the Rfam family "Bacterial small subunit ribosomal RNA", at positions 1 to 530 of the family's 1533-position model. The record is from RNAcentral. Lineage: Bacteria; Pseudomonadati; Pseudomonadota; Gammaproteobacteria; Enterobacterales; Enterobacteriaceae.
AAAUUGAAGAGUUUGAUCAUGGCUCAGAUUGAACGCUGGCGGCAGGCCUAACACAUGCAAGUCGAACGGUAACAGGAAGCGCUUGCUGCUUCGCUGACGAGUGGCGGACGGGUGAGUAAUGUCUGGGAAACUGCCUGAUGGAGGGGGGUAACUACUGGAAACGGUAGCUAAUACCGCAUAACGUCGCAAGACCAAAGAGGGGGACCUUCGGGCCUCUUGCCAUCGGAUGUGCCCAGAUGGGAUUAGCUUGUUGGUGGGGUAACGGCUCACCAAGGCGACGAUCCCUAGCUGGUCUGAGAGGAUGACCAGCCACACUGGAACUGAGACACGGUCCAGACUCCUACGGGAGGCAGCAGUGGGGAAUAUUGCACAAUGGGCGCAAGCCUGAUGCAGCCAUGCCGCGUGUAUGAAGAAGGCCUUCGGGUUGUAAAGUACUUUCAGCGGGGAGGAAGGGAGUAAAGUUAAUACCUUUGCUCAUUGACGUUACCCGCAGAAGAAGCACCGGCUAACUCCGUGCCAGCAGCCGCGGUAAUACGGAG